GACGAACGCUGGCGGCGUGCUUAACACAUGCAAGUCGAACGGAAAGGCCCUGCUUUUGUGGGGUGCUCGAGUGGCGAACGGGUGAGUAACACGUGAGUAACCUGCCCUUGACUUUGGGAUAACUUCAGGAAACUGGGGCUAAUACCGGAUAGGAGCUCCUGCUGCAUGGUGGGGGUUGGAAAGUUUCGGCGGUUGGGGAUGGACUCGCGGCUUAUCAGCUUGUUGGUGGGGUAGUGGCCUACCAAGGCUUUGACGGGUAGCCGGCCUGAGAGGGUGACCGGCCACAUUGGGACUGAGAUACGGCCCAGACUCCUACGGGAGGCAGCAGUGGGGAAUAUUGCACAAUGGGCGGAAGCCUGAUGCAGCAACGCCGCGUGCGGGAUGACGGCCUUCGGGUUGUAAACCGCUUUCGCCUGUGACGAAGCGUGAGUGACGGUAAUGGGUAAAGAAGCACCGGCUAACUACGUGCCAGCAGCCGCGGUGAUACGUAGGGUGCGAGCGUUGUCCGGAUUUAUUGGGCGUAAAGGGCUCGUAGGUGGUUGAUCGCGUCGGAAGUGUAAUCUUGGGGCUUAACCCUGAGCGUGCUUUCGAUACGGGUUGACUUGAGGAAGGUAGGGGAGAAUGGAAUUCCUGGUGGAGCGGUGGAAUGCGCAGAUAUCAGGAGGAACACCAGUGGCGAAGGCGGUUCUCUGGGCCUUUCCUGACGCUGAGGAGCGAGAGCGUGGGGAGCGAACAGGCUUAGAUACCCUGGUAGUCCACGCUGUAAACGGUGGGUACUAGGUGUGGGGUCCAUUCCACGGGUUCCGUGCCGUAGCUAACGCUUUAAGUACCCCGCCUGGGGAGUACGGCCGCAAGGCUAAAACUCAAAGGAAUUGACGGGGCCCCGCACAAGCGGCGGAGCAUGCGGAUUAAUUCGAUGCAACGCGUAGAACCUUACCUGGGUUUGACAUGGAUCGGGAGUGCUCAGAGAUGGGUGUGCCUCUUUUGGGGUCGGUUCACAGGUGGUGCAUGGCUGUCGUCAGCUCGUGUCGUGAGAUGUUGGGUUAAGUCCCGCAACGAGCGCAACCCUUGUUCACUGUUGCCAGCACGUUAUGGUGGGGACUCAGUGGAGACCGCCGGGGUCAACUCGGAGGAAGGUGGGGAUGACGUCAAGUCAUCAUGCCCCUUAUGUCCAGGGCUUCACGCAUGCUACAAUGGCUGGUACAGAGAGUGGCGAGCCUGUGAGGGUGAGCGAAUCUCGGAAAGCCGGUCUCAGUUCGGAUUGGGGUCUGCAACUCGACCUCAUGAAGUCGGAGUCGCUAGUAAUCGCAGAUCAGCAACGCUGCGGUGAAUACGUUCCCGGGGCU
This 1346-nucleotide ribosomal RNA is filed under the name uncultured bacterium. RNAcentral's name for it is "partial 16S ribosomal RNA". It matches the Rfam family "Bacterial small subunit ribosomal RNA", at positions 28 to 1381 of the family's 1533-position model. The record is from RNAcentral.